UGGUAGUUUUAUUCUUGCUUAAUUGUUCAUUAUCGUCUUGCUUUAUAUGUAAGUUCUUGCGUGAUUUUAUUCAUUAUCCUUGAUGGAUUUUGUUUUGUUAAUUUUUAUUCGCAUUAUUUAUUUUUAUAUAUUUUGGUUUCUUUGAUUUAGCAAUGUUUAGUUAGUGCCGGCUAAGUUUGUGCCAGCAGCCGCGGUUAUACAUUAGGCAUUAUUGAACAUUUUCGGUUAGGCAGUUUUAUUUUGUGUUUUGGUUUGAAUCGGGUUGGGUUGUAAAAUAAUUAAGGGUGAAAUCUUUAUUUCUGAUUAUUACUUUUAUUCGUUUUUGUAAGCUGUGAAAUCUUUUUUGUAAACUAGGAUUAGAUACCCUAUUAUUUUUGAUGUUAAGUAUUUUAUUCCUGGGUAGUAUUAGUUAUGUUCUUGAAACCUAAAGAAUUUGGCGGUACUCCACUCCUUUUAGAGGAAUCUGCCCCGUUAUCGAUGAUCCACGUUGGACCUUACUUAAUUUUUGUUGUUUGUAUACCGCCGUUGUAAUGAAGAUCUUUUUAGUGUUUUUAAUUUUCUGGUUUCAUUAUUUUGAUUGAUUUCAGGUCAAGGUGCAGCUUGUUUUUAAGUGUGAGGUGGAUUACAUUGUUUUAUUGAAGUUUUGGAUUAUUGGUUGUUAUGCCUGAUAUGAAAUUGGAUUUAAUUGUAAUAUGUUGAAGAUUAUUUUUAUGAUAUUGGUUCUGGAUUAUGCACACAUCGCCCGUCGCUCUCAUUUUUGUUGAGAUAAGUCGUAACAUAGUGGUCGUACCGGAAGGUGUGGCUGGAUUGGUC
This 813-nucleotide non-coding RNA is filed under the name Neotermes koshunensis. Lineage: Eukaryota; Metazoa; Arthropoda; Insecta; Blattodea; Kalotermitidae. The record is from RNAcentral.